AUAAAUAAUUAAAUAGGCCUAAAGUAGUACUAGAUAUUAGUUAAAUCACUAGUAUUGUGUAGGGUUAUUUUUAUUAAAAAAACAGAUCACAUCUUAUACAUUAAGGCGGGCUCAAUAAAAUAAAAAUAAUUUAUUUAGGACCUAGGCCUAUCUUUUGGAGAUCUAAAAUUCUAAAUGAAAAAUAAAUUAUUAAUUAGACCAACAAUAGGCAUAGUUCAUCCAAAAAAAAGGGAAGAUCUGAUUUUUACCAGUAAUAAGACUACAGCAUACUAAAUGACACAAGAUGUUCUUUCUCUAUUACCUCUUACAUUUGACAUAAAAGUAGGAAAAGGUUUAACAGUCUAUGCCUACAACAUAGAUCUCCAGGACUAAAAGUACACAAAAUGGCAAUCAGUAUAUCACAAGUGUAAUAACACAUGCAUCUAAUCUGCUUCAGUGGCGAGAACUGGGUGAAUCCUCUCAAACAUUAAUCAGGAACUAGGCAUACCUAAUGAGCGUCAAGCUGAUACAGUAGAUGUACAGAAGAGUUUAUACGCAAGGUAAAUAUUGAUAAAUUUU
Physella acuta is the source of this 558-nucleotide long non-coding RNA. RefSeq lists it as uncharacterized. NCBI's taxonomy places the organism in Eukaryota, Metazoa, Mollusca, Gastropoda, Physidae. The record is from RefSeq and is a predicted model, not a curated record.